RNAcentral lists this ribosomal RNA (568 nucleotides) under uncultured Glomeromycotina. Its description in RNAcentral is "SSU rRNA". It matches the Rfam family "Eukaryotic small subunit ribosomal RNA", at positions 548 to 1114 of the family's 1831-position model. Lineage: Eukaryota; Fungi; Glomeromycota. The record is from RNAcentral.
UUGGAGGGCAAGUCUGGUGCCAGCAGCCGCGGUAAUUCCAGCUCCAGUAGCGUAUAUUAAAGUUGUUGCAGUUAAAAAGCUCGUAGUUGAAUUUCGAGAUCAGUACGCUGGUCGUGCCUUCGGUACUAUGCACUGGUGUCACUGGUUUCUCCCUUCUGAAGAACCGUAAUGCCAUUCAGUUGGUGUGGCGGGGAAUCAGGAUUGUUACUUUGAAAAAAUUAGAGUGUUUAAAGCAGGCUCGUGCUUGAAUACAUUAGCAUGGAAUAAUGAAAUGGGACGUUUGAUCCUAUUUUGUUGGUUUCUAGGAUCGACGUAAUGAUUAAUAGGGAUAGUUGGGGGCAUUAGUAUUCAAUUGUCAGAGGUGAAAUUCUUGGAUUUAUUAAAGACUAACUACUGCGAAAGCAUUUGCCAAGGAUGUUUUCAUUAAUCAAGAACGAAAGUUGGGGGAUCGAAGACGAUCAGAUACCGUCGUAGUCUUAACCAUAAACUAUGCCGACUAGGGAUCGGAUGAUGUUAAUUUUUUAAUGACUCAUUCGGCGCCUUACGGGAAACCAAAGUGUUUGGGUUC